CGGUAGGGCGGGACCGGGGUGGGAGUAAUGUCUGGGAAACGUACUCGAUGGAGGGGGAUAACUACUGGAAACGGUAGCUAAUACCGCAUAACGUCGCAAGACCAAAGAGGGGGACCUUCGGGCCUCUUGCCAUCGGAUGUGCCCAGAUGGGAUUAGCUAGUAGGUGGGGUAACGGCUCACCUAGGCGACGAUCCCUAGCUGGUCUGAGAGGAUGACCAGCCACACUGGAACUGAGACACGGUCCAG
This 246-nucleotide ribosomal RNA is filed under the name uncultured bacterium. RNAcentral describes it as "partial 16S ribosomal RNA". It matches the Rfam family "Bacterial small subunit ribosomal RNA", at positions 106 to 334 of the family's 1533-position model. The record is from RNAcentral.